This 253-nucleotide ribosomal RNA is filed under the name uncultured bacterium. RNAcentral describes it as "partial 16S ribosomal RNA". It matches the Rfam family "Bacterial small subunit ribosomal RNA", at positions 524 to 776 of the family's 1533-position model. The record is from RNAcentral.
GACAGAGGGUGCAAACGUUGUUCGGAAUUACUGGGCGUAAAGCGCGUGUAGGCUGUUCGGAAAGUCGGAUGUGAAAGCCCUGGGCUCAACCUAGGGAGUGCAUUCGAAACUUCCGAGCUGGAGUUCUGGAGAGGAAGGCGGAAUUCUCGGUGUAGAGGUGAAAUUCGUAGAUAUCGAGAGGAACACCGGUGGCGAAGGCGGCCUUCUGGACAGUGACUGACGCUGAGACGCGAAAGCGUGGGGAGCAAACAGG